GUUACAGGACGACCUGUAAACGCUAUUCUCACCGGGGACGGCCCC
This is a non-coding RNA of Salmonella enterica subsp. enterica serovar Newport, 45 nucleotides long. The record is from Rfam. Lineage: Bacteria; Pseudomonadati; Pseudomonadota; Gammaproteobacteria; Enterobacterales; Enterobacteriaceae.